This 484-nucleotide ribosomal RNA is filed under the name uncultured bacterium. RNAcentral's name for it is "partial 16S ribosomal RNA". It matches the Rfam family "Bacterial small subunit ribosomal RNA", at positions 28 to 523 of the family's 1533-position model. The record is from RNAcentral.
GACGAACGCUGGCGGCGUGCUUAACACAUGCAAGUCGAACGAUGAAGCCGGAGCUUGCUCUGGUGAAUUAGUGGCGAACGGGUGAGUAACACGUGAGUAACCUGCCCUUGACUCUGGGAUAACUGCUAGAAAUGGUAGCUAAUACCGGAUACGACCCUCGGAGGCAUCUUCAGGGGGUGGAAAGAAUUUGGGUCAAGGAUGGACUCGCGGCCUAUCAGCUAGUUGGUGAGGUAAUGGCUCACCGAGGCGACGACGGGUAGCCGGCCUGGGAGGGUGACCGGCCACACUGGGACUGAGACGCGGCCCAGACUCCUACGGGAGGCAGCAGUGGGGAAUAUUGCACAAUGGGCGCAAGCCUGAUGCAGCAACGCCGCGUGAGGGAUGACGGCCUUCGGGUUGUAAACCUCUUUUAGUAGGGAAGAAGCGAAAGUGACGGUACCUGCAGAAAAAGCACCGGCUAACUACGUGCCAGCAGCCGCAGUAA